CGCGCGUGUCCGUUCCUGCUCGCGUCUCCGCGCGCGCGCCCCCGUGCGCGUGUGCCCGCGCGCUCCUCCGCGUGCGUCCACGUUGUGCGCGUGUGUCCGCGUGCGUGCGUGCGCGCGUUGAACUCGGCGCGCGGCCGUCCCGUCCCGCUGCGCGCGGGGGGAGCGGCGGCCGCGCGCCCAACGGCCGAGCGCGCGCGCGCGCAGAGCGCGGCGGAGAGCCCCGGGCCGCGGUGCGGCAGCGCCGCUCCGAGCCGGGCACCCCGCCGCCCUCCUGCCCCCCUCGGAGCCGUGCGCCCUCCUUCGCAUCUUCACUGAAACCGGGCAGGCUCCGCAAGGGGAAAUAGCUCACAUCCCCAGCAAUUUAAGUUGUUAAAGUGCGUGUCUGCCCUUUUAAAAAGGGUGUUUGAUAAGUCCUGCCUUUCCUCCCAGGACCCAACACUCCUAAAACUCAAAAAAAAAAAAAAAAAAAGAAAAGAAAAAGAAAAUAAAUUGUCUCUAAGCAAGUGACCUGUUCCAGGUUUUAGUAAACAAAGUGUGAUUCAGUGAUUCAUACUGAUAUCGGUGCGGCAGAGCAGGGGGGACAAUGGUGUCAGUUUCUGUAUAAAAAUAAAAAUGAGCCCAACUGUUGAGAGCUGGUCAGUAGCAGGGCUCGGUGCCUGCCCAGUGACCCCCUGGCCCAGCUAUGGCUGCAGAGGCUGUUCCAUGCUAGGCUGAGCAAUGGCAUCUGGGCCCUUUUCCCCGCGCGGGCAGGCAGGGGGGCCCUGCCCCGGCACUGCAGGCUCUUCCUCCUUCCCUGCACUCGGGCUUGGCUGGGGGAACAGAAACCCCUGCCUUGGGCUGCAGAGCGCUGACCCCAGCGGCCAUCGCUCCGAAAGCUUCAAACAAAUGAUCCACUUCCUCCUCUGUUUGCUUUGGAGUCGCGGCAUCUGGACUUUGCGCUGGCGGCUGAUUUUUUUCCCCUCCUCUGGUCUUCAAGAACAACCAAAAUAACCAACCAGAGAAAUGCCCACAGGCUCGAGCUAUUCCAGAUUUUAUUUUUUUUUAUGAUAAUUAUUAUUAUUAUUUCCUUAAGGAGAGCAAUCAGGUUCCUCGAAUUUCCUUCUCUUUAUAGUUUCUUUUUUUUUUUUCCCUCGCCUUGGCCAGAAGUGUGGAGUAGACCGGGGAGCGAACAGCCUAUUAUUUUCUGCAGUUGUUUACUCGUUCUGUAGAUGGUGCUUGUUCCCAGGGCUCUAAGCCUCUCUAUAAUUAAACCCAUUUUAAUUGUUAGUUAGAAACGUCAUUUCGGGGACUUUCCAAGAGUUACGGAGAAAGCCAGCCGAGAUAACUAUUUCACUACCGAGUCGCUCGCAGCCUGGUUUCUGCCCGGUUCCUCCUGCGGCCCAGGCACGGCAUGGGGCUGAUCUCGGAGCGGGAUUGCGGCCGGCCCAGGGCCAGCAGCCCCUCCGCCAGCACAGCCCGCUGCCCUGCUGCUUUUGUGCUAGUCGCUUGUCCCCUGUGCAUUUGUUUUGGAAACUUGGGGUUUAAGGCUGCACAUUUCCGCGGAUCAAGUGGCAAAGGCUGAAGCCGAGAAGGAAUUUUUUCCAGUGAUUUAGCUUGGCAAACCCCGACUCCAUGGUGGUCUGCCUUGCAUUGCCUGCGCACAUGCUCAGCUCAGGAAUUUAGCUGCUCACCCCACCUCGUGGCUAAAAGUCAGAGCCCUCCGGGCCAGAGUGGGAAUUUGUGUGGGCAUGAAUUCACACCGAGCGGAGGAAUGAAAAGAUUGGAGCCUUACACCGCCCGCCAGAGCCGUGCCAGAACUUUGAUAGAUGCAAAUGAAUAAAGAUAGGUAAAUGAAUAAAUGAAAGUCAAUUAUUAAAGACGAUUACUGGAAAAGUGAAUGAAUGCAAUGCCAUGCUCACUAGCCUUCUUGUAUGAGUCAGUCCAUCCAGGCCCAGCAGAUUCCAGAUGGGAUACUACAGCUGGGCCUGGGAAGCAGGAAUAAAUGUCCAGAACCUCCCAAGCCCUUCUCAAACUUGUCCUCAGCACAGGAGGUGCUUUUGGACCCCUCUCCUUCCCUGGGUCAAAUGCAAGCAGAUGCUAAACUUGUCACAAAAUACAGAGGGAUAAGAUUCUGCAUUAGACCUGUGCCCACAUUUAGCAGAGGAAUUAAGAACCACUUUCAUGCACGAGAGCUGAAGCAGGCCAGAGUGGCCAGAAGGCGGAGAAGAAGAAGGGGGCAGCGAAUGAAAUGAUAAAGGCAGGAGAUUUAAAGGAUUACUUUUUCCAAUUGCGUGUGUGUAUAAAACUGUGGGCUCGUUGGCACAUGAUGCUGUAAAGGUCAAAAGUAUAAAACAGGUCAAAAAAGCAAUUUGACAAAUUUAUGGAGGAAAAGUCCCUGGAGGUUUACUAAAGGCAAAGGCAGACCUCUGCAACAUGUUGCUGGACAACGCACAGCAAAAGUAUCACUCUCUCAUCCCCGUUUUCCCCCAUAAGCAUUGACUGCUCUUGGAGGUGAGAGCCACAACAGACCUUUGGUCUGAUCCAGUUUGGCACUGGGAUGUUCAAAUCAGCACUAUCUUGUCCCCGAGCCACGGAGCACGGGUUCACACGCUGGCCUCUGCUGAAGGCUGGAGAGCAGUCUCAUGGGGUGGCUGCACUCUUUGCCCAGUUUAACUCCCCGCCAGGGUAAUAAGAGGUUACUUUGAGCACUGAGUGUAAACUGAAUCCAAGUGCCAGCUUUGCCACAAAUAUAUUUGAUGAUGGUGCAGCUCCCGUGGCAAAAGAACAAGGUUGCUAUCUUAAGACACCUGCACUUCCCCUCACCUGGAGCCAUUUGGCAGUGGGAAGCCUGCAGAUCUACUUGCGUCAGAGUUACUGAGCAAGAACUUGAGUAUGAAAAAGCCUGAAUUGUUGAAAACAAGGUGGGGGUGGGGUGUUUUGGUUUAUUCCCCCUCCUACCACUCAGUUCCCAAAGUUUCAAGGUAGGAAAGGGAAGUGCUUUCGUCACAAGCAACGUUUUCCGCUGUGAGUUUCAGAUGAGUUGGGCAUUUCACUCCCCUGGUCCCAUGGGAAUCCUCAGGUAAACAGACAUGUCUUGUCUGCAGCGGUGCUCCGAUGUACAGCGGCUGGGAGCAGAGGAAGGACAAACCUCCUGACUUUAUUUUUGCUGGGGGUGUAAAAUGAGCCAAGGCUUUCUGCAGUCACUAUUCUAUACAUAUCUUUUGGGUCUGAUGCUAUUUUUGUUGGCUGUGACCCUGGAGGUGUAGGUGUGGAAGUGCCUUUCUGCUGCUUUCUGCAUGCGGGUGUAGAUGUUUCCUCUGUUCCAGGCACCUCCUCAGACUCUGUGGCCUUUCAGGGGGAGUAGGCGGAUGUCAGCGUGGCCUUUCCCCACCUGUCUGUAACUUUUUAAUACUUCUUUUUAUUUUGGCCUUGCGCUUCUUCCAUGGAACAUCUCUGGGUAGCCACUGGGAGGUGUAAAUGGCUUGAGAUGGAAACCACAGCUUGUAGGUGCGCCCUCUGCCAGGCUUUUCUGGCACCCGAGGAAGUCAGGUCUGUGCCUGCUCCCAAGCAAAAGGGAUAUUACCAGCUGCUCGGUGAGAAAACAAAUUCACAGAGAUACAGGAAAGUGUGUUAAGGUGGUGGGAAGCAACGGGAGUGAGAUUCCUGGCAGCUCGGGUAUGUAAACAUUCAUAAAAUAGAGAGUGUGUGCAUGUGUGUACUUUGUGGUGGCAGGAAACCCAAGAAGCUAGCUCCAUUAUUUUUGCUGGAAUUGGUAGCAGCCGUACCAGACAAAUAUUAUAAGCCCUUAAUCCUCCUGACUUUACACCUGUGAAUGACCUAAAGACCAUCCAAGGUGAUCUAAAUUACAGCACAUCUUUACUAAUUAGUAAUGGGGUUUGGGAUCUGAUUUAGUUGUUUGUAAAAAGGGCUUUCUUGUUUCUCAGUAGCUCAGAUGUUGGACUACCUCUGGGGGAAGUGAGGGGAAGGCAGGAGGUGGAGGUAAUGUGUGGCCUCUUCUGAAGUGUCACAUGGAUGUGACUAGCCUGCCACAAAUUUAGCUCCGGUGGCACUGACAAGACACUGCAGUGGAAAAAGCAGAGAUGUCCUUUUAAGCAGACGCAGGCAGGACAGCAAGCCCAUGCAAGUGUUUAGCUGUUUGUCAUGACUGCUCAGCAGGCUGGCCUAGCCACGUCCUGGGGUCUGUCCAGCUGCACCCAGACACAUGCAGCCUGUGCUGAGGGUGGGUGCAGGGCUGAGACACACGCCAGUGUGGCAGUAGGUUUGAGGGGCUGGAGGAGAAGACCAUCACCAGGACCAGCUGCUGCAUGGGUGUGGAAAGUGAAGGCGCCUGACCAGGAACAUCUGUCUCCCUGCUUGUGACCUGGGUGUGGGGCUGUUACUUCACCCCAGCUCCGUGGCAGUGCAGUCCCCAGCUGGGGUCUGCACAUCCUGUCUGGACACAAGGACAAGCAGGAAAGCCCAACAGCCUCCUCACACUGCGCCACAGAUCUCCCUUGCUGCUGCACCCACCACCUCCUGCAGAGAAAUCUCUCUUGUUAGGGGUGUGCCUGUUCUCAGUGAAGUUGCAAACCCUCUAGGGCAAGGCGCAAGACUCGUCUGAUCUCCUCCCUGAACAUGCCACAAGUGCGUGAAGCUAGAGGAGGGAUUUCCAUCCUGCCAGUGUGGUAAUGGGAGCUGAGGAGGUGCCCAGCCUGGCUGCAGCAAGGCGAGGUAUGGAGCGAGAUGUGUUUCUCAUCAGUGGUGGAGCAGAGCCACGAAGCUGCUGUUGGGGAGACUGCAGUUCUAUCCUGCCCCAUCCCCUCCCUGUGGAGAGUCCACAUCCAUGGGACAGCCUGUGCAGCCAGGUGCCAGCAUCCUCUUUCCUCCAGCUCUCAGCUGGGCACAUGGUGGUCCUGAGGUCCCCAGCAUCCCUGCUGGGCCCAGCCUCAGGAGCAGAUUAUCGUGUGCAGCAAAGGCACAGCUUCAAAUAGGUGUCCUUAACCUGGCCUAAUCUGCACAGGGCUCUGUGCCUGCCAGGGCAGAGGGAAGUCAGCUAUAUCUCACCUCCAUAAAUUGUUGUUCAGAUUAAGGGAAGUGCCAGAAGCUUUAAAGAGGCUGUUGGCAGAUUCCAGAAAAAAAGAAACAAGUGACACCUGCUGCACAUCAAAACAGCAAUUACCUUUGUAUCAGUAAGAUGGUUAAUGCAUGUAACAAGUGGCUGGAGAUAUGGAAGGGCAUAGAUCUCAGAAACCAGGACAAAAUCAGUUUUUUCAAAUCCUGCAUCCAUGGUCCUGAGCUGAUAUACAAGCAAGAUGAUAAUGCAGCACAGUGGUUUUUGUUGGCCUCUGCCUGUUUCCAGCCACAGCAGCCCUGGCUGCUGAUUAUUCAGCAGACAUUAACCAGUGGAAUGUUUCUGUGAUUUUUUUUCUCAAAUAAAGAGUGCUGGGAAAAAAUG
This is a long non-coding RNA of Passer domesticus (house sparrow), 5434 nucleotides long. RefSeq lists it as uncharacterized. The record is from RefSeq and is a predicted model, not a curated record. The transcript has 2 exons. NCBI's taxonomy places the organism in Eukaryota, Metazoa, Chordata, Aves, Passeriformes, Passeridae.